GAGUUCGUUGUGACCUCGUAAAACAACAAGUUUGGUUGUGAGCUUGUAAAACAACCGGCUGUAAUCCGAGGGGUUAUAGUGAAUUCCCAAGUGAGGCUUGGGGAGUGGACGUAGGAGCAAGGGUUAGCUCCGAACCACUAUAAAUUCCUUGUGUUUGUGAUUGUUCUAUUGUCCCUUAUCUUCAUUUCAUUCACAGCACAUAGCAUCUAAUUAAUCAACUUGCAAAAGGUGUUAAUUAGUAUUUCAUAAAUCAUUUAAUUGUUAUAAUUAUUUUUAAAACCCAAUUCACCCCCC
This 294-nucleotide long non-coding RNA is filed under the name Phoenix dactylifera (date palm). Its description in RNAcentral is "long non-coding RNA (PDAC_LNC009086)". The record is from RNAcentral. Lineage: Eukaryota; Viridiplantae; Streptophyta; Magnoliopsida; Arecales; Arecaceae.